RNAcentral lists this ribosomal RNA (253 nucleotides) under uncultured bacterium. RNAcentral describes it as "partial 16S ribosomal RNA". It matches the Rfam family "Bacterial small subunit ribosomal RNA", at positions 524 to 776 of the family's 1533-position model. The record is from RNAcentral.
UACGGAGGGUGCGAGCGUUGUCCGGAAUCACUGGGCGUAAAGGGCUCGUAGGCGGCCAACUAAGUCAGACGUGAAAUCCCUCGGCUUAACCGGGGAACUGCGUCUGAUACUGGAUGGCUUGAGUUCGGGAGAGGGAUGCGGAAUUCCAGGUGUAGCGGUGAAAUGCGUAGAUAUCUGGAGGAACACCGGUGGCGAAGGCGGCAUCCUGGACCGACACUGACACUGAGGAGCGAAAGCCAGGGGAGCAAACGGG